AGUGCAUGUGGUGGAUGCCUUGGCGAUCACAGGCGAUGAAGGACGUGUAAGCCUGCGAAAAGCGUGGGGGAGCUGGCAAUAGAGCAUUGAUCCCACGAUGUCCGAAUGGGGAAACCCGGCCCGCAAGGGUCAUCUCACACUGAAUACAUAGGUGUGUAGAGGCGAACCGAGCGAACUGAAACAUCUAAGUAGCUCGAGGAAAAGAAAUCAACCGAGAUUCCGUAAGUAGUGGCGAGCGAACACGGAAGAGCCUGCACGACUAAACCAUCAGCUUAGCAAAACGGUCUGGAAAGUCCGACGAUACAGGGUGAUAGUCCCGUAUGCGAAAAGCCGGUGGCGGGGUCUGAGCGUGCGACAAGUAGGGCGGGGACACGAGAAAUCCUGUCUGAAGAUGGGGGGACCAGUCCUCCAAGGCUAAAUACUCGUGAUCGACCGAUAGUGAACCAGUACCGUGAGGGAAAGGCGAAAAGAACCCGGGAGGGGAGUGAAUAGAUCCUGAAACCGCAUGCAUACAACAAGUGGG
RNAcentral lists this ribosomal RNA (523 nucleotides) under uncultured bacterium. RNAcentral's name for it is "bacterial LSU rRNA". It matches the Rfam family "Bacterial large subunit ribosomal RNA", at positions 14 to 577 of the family's 2925-position model. The record is from RNAcentral.